UUUGGGGGCAUAGCUGCCUCCCUAUUGUCAAGGAUUUUGAGCAGAUCAGAUUUGAGGACCUUUUUUCAAUAGGUCUAUGUUUUUCUUACAACCACUCUCCAUUUUAAACACAUCAUGAGUAGACUUUUGGAGUCUGAUCUAUCGAGCUGGGUGUGUUUGGAAAGCUACAGAGCAGUGGCCAUAGAAAGACUGUGUGAGACAGAGUCCUAGCCUAUCUGUCCGGCCAGUCGAACCUCAAGUGUUCGCUGCUUUCAUUUUCUCUUGGCUGAGGAAAUGAUGGUUUGGUUUUGCAAAGGAAGGCUGGGGACUUCUGCCAGCUUGCUAACGGCCUUGCCCCAUUCAGAUGCAUCGAACUCACAGAACAUCGCUCCCCAGCUGCCGGCCCGCAGUUCUGAGAGUGCCUGAAUAGAAAACCACUCAUUUCCCUUCGCAAUAGAGGCGCCCAAAGCAGAUAUGUCAAUAUAUUCCAAUUUAGCCGAGGGAAGCCAGAACAUGGAUAUUGUUGCCAAGGAAACCACCUCCUUCCUCCUGUGUGCCGUGCAUACGUGUAUCACUUCAUCUCUCUGCUCUCCAAGCUGGAAUCCAGAUCUGACGUGGAUCUCCUGCCCCAGUUCUGAAGUCUACCUGGUGCCCCAGCCGAACCUGCCCUGGCUCCUGGGUGGGGUAUGGACAUCUGUGGCAUCCCUCCCUAACACCCCACCAAGCUGGGCUGCAAGACAGGUUAUGGUGGCCCCAUGACUUCGUUCCUUGGUAAGCCACAGGCCUUCCUUGUUAACUGCUUUGCUGUUGGUCAUUGCAGAGAAAUAGGGGACAAUAAGAACAACCUGAUAUGUAGCAAAGGCUCUAGGACUGUGUCAUCUGCUGAAGCGCCAGUCCCUGCGCUGCCUCUCCUGAGUGGCAUCUGUGAUGGCAAACAAAAGGCUCCUUGGGCUUCACACUCUGCUUUCUUUCCAAAUGGUACUUACCACCCACUACCUCCCAGCCUUCUUCUGACCAGCUCCCUCUUCUGAUAGGCUUAUUUCCAUGAAGUUCUUCAGAGUUAGAAGCAUGAACUUUAGAACCAGGUGACCCAGGUUGGAAUCCAUCUCUGCCACUUACUAGCCAUAUGACCUUGGGUAUGUUACUUAACAUUUCUGUGCCUCAGUUUCUUUUUCUAUAAAAUGGGCGUAAUAAUAUCUAUCUAGCACAGUUACUGUAAGGAUUAAGUAAGUUAUUAUAUGCAGAGUUCUUGGUUCACAGUUAGUACCAUUUAAGCCUUUCUAUUAUUAUUACUGUUACAAUUUUCCUGGCAUGUCAGCCUGAUGAUGCAGAUGAGGCAGGAACUUUCGUCUCUGCCUCUCGUGGACUGCCUGAUGAGCUCCAUGGAACUCAGCCAUGCCUGCAGUGCUGCAGGCCUCGCUUCUGAGUGCUGGAGGCUGAGAAGACAAUGGAUGUUGACUGGGCAUUUUGGGGGGUUUUCUUACACAGGAGGAAGAUGACAAUGACUGUGGAAGCAGAAGGUUGUCAUGGAAAUGCACCUGUUCCAAGUCGUUACACUCUGGGCUCUGGGCUGGCUCUGCAUGGGCCUACCAUGCACUGACUUCAGCUUCACCUGGGUCAGCGGGAGGCUGGACGAAGGUAGACAUCUUUCCUCACCACCAGCCUGCCAUGGUGGCUUUCUGUCGCCGGUGUGAACAGACACUCAAGCUUUCCUGGUCUCCUGAGCUACUGUGAAUAUGGCACAAGAUAGUGGACUCUGAAUAACAUUGGAAACAACUGCUUCCUGGAUGGCCACUGAGUGCAAGGCCUGAGGGAGGGUGAGGGCAAGAGGACUGAUGGUUACUGGACAUCUUCAUGCCCAGGCUUCUGUGUGUCCUCUCACUUAAUCCUCCAACAGCACUGUGAGGAAAAUACAGCAUCCCACCUCACAGGCGAGGAAGCUCAAGUUGAAGGAAUGUUAAAUUGUCUGCUCUGAGCCUCACAGCUGGGAGGUGACAGCCCCAGGAUUGGUGGCCAGGGUUUGUCUGCCUUUAAAGCUUAUGUCAUGUCCUUCUGUGUUAUCUCGGUCUGUACAGGGUGCUACAGCAAAAUACCAUAGCCUGGGUAGUUUAUGAACAACAGAAAUUUAUUUCUCAUAGUUCUGGAGCCUGGAAGUCCAAGACCAAGCCUCCCGCAGGUUCAGUGUUUGGUGAGGACCCACUUCCUUGUUCAUAGAUGUCCCUUUCUCGCUGUGGCCUCACAGCAAGGGGUCAGGGUUCUCUCUGGGACCUCUUUAAAUAGGGUCACCAAUUCCAUUCAUGAGGGCUGCACCCCUAUGACCUAAUCCCCUCCCAAAGGCCCCGCUUGACCAUACCAUUACGUUGGGGGUUACGAUUCUGGCAUGAAUUUUGGGAGGGACACAGGCAUUCUGACCAUAGCAUGUGUGUAGUUGCUCCUCCCCACCGAGGAAACCACCGCUUCCAAGCAUGGCUACCAUCUGGUUACCCUGGGUGGCCAAGGUCAGCAGAGGUGCUUUGCCAACUGGUUGGCACCCACACUACCUCUGUCCAGGUGGGCUGGGGCGAGGGUUGAGUCAUAGUGGGACUCUGUGGGGCUCCGGGGACUGUCAGCUGACCUGGGGCCGGAGGUCCUGCUGCUCUGUGCCCAUAGACACCUCCUGGGAAUCUGACGACUUUCAUCAGGGCCCAGAACUCACCCUGACAGUUCUUUCAGCUCUUGUCUUUUCCUCCCCUACCUACCUGCUCAUCUUGCUUUCACACACAAAGCCUCCCCUGCACUCCCCAUUCCCCUCCUCAAUCGCUUUCCCAGCUUUUGUACUUUAUGAUGCCAUGACUUGGGUGAGGAAACUCAUUAAAGUCAUUAUUCCGUGCACAGAAAUGUGUCUUUCAUCCCAUUCAUAUUUAAUGUUCCUCCCACUUGAUCUUUUGACACUUUUUAAUUCCUGAUAUUACGUGACAUACACACACA
Molecule: long non-coding RNA, 2946 nt
Organism: Mandrillus leucophaeus (drill)
Lineage: Eukaryota; Metazoa; Chordata; Mammalia; Primates; Cercopithecidae
Exons: 2
Source: RefSeq, a predicted model, not a curated record